GUCCACGCCCUAACGAUGUCAACUGGUUGUUGGACGGCUUGCUGUUCAGUAACGAAGCUAACGCGUGAAGUUGACCGCCUGGGAGUACGGCCGCAAGGUUGAACUCAAAGGAAUUGACGGGACCCGCACAAGCGGUGGAUGAUGUGGUUUAAUUCGAUGCAACGCGAAAACCUUACCUACACUUGACAUGUCAAGAAUCUUGCAGAGAUGUGAGAGUGCUCGAAAGAGAACUUGAACACAGGUGCUGCAUGGCCGUCGU
Molecule: ribosomal RNA, 259 nt
Filed under: uncultured bacterium
Lineage: Bacteria
Description: partial 16S ribosomal RNA
Rfam family: Bacterial small subunit ribosomal RNA
Source: RNAcentral